GCAAGUCGAGGGGCAGCAUUACUUUCGGGUAGAUGGCGACCGGCGCACGGGUGCGUAACGCGUAUGCAACCUGCCUUAUACAGGAGGAUAGCCCAUGGAAACGUGGAUUAAUACUCCAUAGUAUCUUAAAUCCGCAUGGAUUUAAGAUUAAAACUACGGUGGUAUAAGAUGGGCAUGCGUAUGAUUAGGUAGUUGGUGAGGUAAUAGCUCACCAAGCCGACGAUCAUUAGGGGUUCUGAGAGGAUGAUC
RNAcentral lists this ribosomal RNA (249 nucleotides) under uncultured bacterium. Its description in RNAcentral is "partial 16S ribosomal RNA". It matches the Rfam family "Bacterial small subunit ribosomal RNA", at positions 57 to 305 of the family's 1533-position model. The record is from RNAcentral.